Molecule: ribosomal RNA, 274 nt
Filed under: uncultured bacterium
Lineage: Bacteria
Description: partial 16S ribosomal RNA
Rfam family: Bacterial small subunit ribosomal RNA
Source: RNAcentral
AUACGGAGGCUGCAAGCGUUACUCGGAAUCACUGGGCGUAAAGCGCGCGCAGGCGGGCUGAUAAGUUGGAUGUGAAAGCCUACGGCUCAACCGUAGAACUGCAUCCAAAACUGUCAGUCUAGAGUCUGGGAGGGGAAGAUGGAAUUAGUUGUGUAGGGGUAAAAUCCGUAGAGAUAACUAGGAAUACCAAAAGCGAAGGCAAUCUUCUGGAACACUACUGACGCUGAGGCGCGAAGGCGUGGGGAGCAAACAGGAUGAGAAACCCCGGUAGUCC